AUGGGCGCCACCGUCUUCCCCCACUCCCUGGCCUCGCGCGGACCCGCUGCAGCCCUCCCCCGAGCCUGCGCGUCCUCCACCAUCCGCAUUAACCCCGCCUGCGUCGCCAACCCCACCGCCACCGCCGCCAAGAAACCGAAGCGGCCAGGGUCGUUCGACUGCGGGGAUCCGCCGGCGAAGCGCGUGCCCGGUGUUUCCGGCAAGGUCGAGCCCGAUGCCAGGACCAAGAAGAGCCCGCGUCCCUGCCCCGUCAGCGACGAGGAUCCGCGGAGCUCGCUGCCCCGCGGCGUCCAGGCCUCCCGCGUGGCCAAGAACCAGAGCAGCGCCUCGCCGACUCGUCCUCCCGAGCUCACGGCGCCACCCAAGCCUCCAGCCUGCAGCAUGCGCGAGCUCCUCCAGAAGGCCCGGCUUGCCAAGAACCCCGGCAGCGCCUCUCCGCCGAAGCCGGUUGCCUGCGGCGUGGGCGAGCUCCUCGAGAAGACCCGUCCCGCCAAGGUUAGUCCUGCUGCUGCCGAUGCUGAUGCUCAGCCUGAGGCCAUCCACCGGCGCGAGAUCGAGCGGCGGAGGGCCGAGGCCCGCCGUGAGCUGGGGCAGAUGGUUCGGACGGUGGAGUUCAACGACGCAUUCAUCGAUCCCCAGGACGUGCUCAGGUGA
Molecule: ribosomal RNA, 654 nt
Filed under: Triticum aestivum (bread wheat)
Lineage: Eukaryota; Viridiplantae; Streptophyta; Magnoliopsida; Poales; Poaceae
Description: partial small subunit ribosomal RNA
Source: RNAcentral